This 456-nucleotide ribosomal RNA is filed under the name uncultured archaeon. Its description in RNAcentral is "bacterial SSU rRNA". It matches the Rfam family "Archaeal small subunit ribosomal RNA", at positions 880 to 1335 of the family's 1478-position model. The record is from RNAcentral.
CACAAGGGGUGAAGCCUGCGGUUCAUUUGGAGUCAACGCCAGGAAACUUACCAGGAGAGACAGCAGAUUGAGGGUCAGGCUGAAGACCUUACCUGACGAGCUGAGAGGAGGUGCAUGGCCGUCGCCAGCUCGUGCCGUGAGGCGUCCUGUUAAGUCAGGCAACGAGCGAGACCCCURUCAGUAAUUGCUAACUGCCCAGAGAUGGGNAGAGGCUAGUUACAGAGACUGCCGUUGAUAAAACGGAGGAAGGAAGGGGCCACGGCAGGUCAGUAUGCCCCGAAACUCCUGGGCCACACGCGGGCUGCAAUGGUAGGGACAAUAGGUUCCNACCUCNAAAGAGGAAGGCAAUCCCCAAACCCUACCUCAGUUGUGAUCGAGGAUUGAAACCCGUCCUCGUGAAUAUGGAAUCCCUAGUAACCGCGUGUCAUCACCGCGCGGUGAAUACGUCCCUGCUCC